CCCUUAGAUGUUCUGGGCUGCACGCGCGCUACACUGAUACGCUCAACGAGUUUAUGACCUUGCCCGGAAGGGUUGGGUAAUCUUUUUAAAACGCAUCGUGAUGGGGAUAGAUUAUUGCAAUUAUUAAUCUUCAACGAGGAAUUCCUAGUAAGCGCGAGUCAUCAGCUCGUGCUGAUUACGUCCCUGCCCUUUGUACACACCGCCCGUCGCUCCUACCGAUGGAGUGAUCCGGUGAAUAAUUCGGACUGCAGCAGUGUUCAGUUCCUGAACGUUGCAGUGGAAAGUUUAGUGAACCUUAUCACUUAGAGGAAGGAGAAGUCGUAACA
RNAcentral lists this ribosomal RNA (326 nucleotides) under uncultured eukaryote. RNAcentral describes it as "partial 18S ribosomal RNA". It matches the Rfam family "Eukaryotic small subunit ribosomal RNA", at positions 1470 to 1796 of the family's 1831-position model. The record is from RNAcentral.